UCGAGAAUUUUUCACAAUGGGCGAAAGCCUGAUGGAGCGACGCCGCGUGGGGGAUGAAUGGCUUCGGCCCGUAAACCCCUGUCAUUUGCGAUCAACCGUUAUUAUUUAAAAGAUGAUAACCUGAUAGUAGCGAAAGAGGAAGGGACGGCUAACUCUGUGCCAGCAGCCGCGGUAAUACAGAGGUCCCAAGCGUUGUUCGGAUUUACUGGGCGUAAAGGGUGCGUAGGUGGCGGUGUAAGUCGGAUGUGAAAUCUUCGAGCUCAACUCGGAAACUGCAUUGGAAACUACAUUGCUCGAGGGUUGGAGGGGGGACUGGAAUACUUGGUGUAGCAGUGAAAUGCGUAGAUAUCAAGUGGAACACCAGUGGCGAAGGCGAGUCCCUGGACAGCUCCUGACACUGAGGCACGAAAGCUAGGGGAGCAAACAG
This 427-nucleotide ribosomal RNA is filed under the name uncultured bacterium. Its description in RNAcentral is "bacterial SSU rRNA". It matches the Rfam family "Bacterial small subunit ribosomal RNA", at positions 355 to 775 of the family's 1533-position model. The record is from RNAcentral.